UACAGAGGUCCCAAGCGUUGUUCGGAUUCAUUGGGCGUAAAGGGUGCGGAGGUGGCGCCGUAAGUGGGGUGUGAAAUUUCGGAGCUUAACUCCGAAACUGCAUUCCAUACUGCGGUGCUUGAGGACUGGAGAGGAGACUGGAAUUCAUGGUGUAGCAGUGAAAUGCGUAGAGAUCAUGAGGAAGACCAGUGGCGAAGGCGGGUCUCUGGACAGUUCCUGACACUGAGGCACGAAGGCCAGGGGAGCAAACGGG
Molecule: ribosomal RNA, 253 nt
Filed under: uncultured bacterium
Lineage: Bacteria
Description: partial 16S ribosomal RNA
Rfam family: Bacterial small subunit ribosomal RNA
Source: RNAcentral